GCUCAGUCCCUACGGCCGUCCACCCCUCCACACACUUUCCAUGCCAAACACCAGCCCUAGCUUAUUUUAUCUCUGCUUCACCCAGACCAGCUCUAAAACAAUGUCCCUCUGCCUCCUCUUCCCUUGCCCGAGCCGCGCAUGGAGCUUAAAAUGCUCCGUACACGUACAUACCCGUGCUGCUGGCUCUGAAGGACAUGGGUGGAGACCGAGGCGGGAAGAGGGAGGCACAGGGCGGGGAGAAGCCGCCUGUAGCUUCUCCCAGGCCUCGUUCAGGGCCACCCCCCCCAGGGACCUCUGCUAUCUGCUACAUGGAAGCUCGCUCAACUUGCACGUUUGUUUGCGUGGGGCUGCAUACCACAGAUGUGAGUGAAGAGGGGACGAUUAUGUAGCAGUGUGACUGCAGGGCAGGCACUAGACUAAUACUAGUGGACUGGGAGAAGUCACUCUCCAGCGUUUCUUCUUUGCGGAUACGGUGAAGACCCUGUCUGAAAUAAGGUCUUAUCAUCUACCAACAGACAUGGUAAGUCAAGGUGAGGAAAUGGAGACCCAGAUUAUCUUCAAAGUGGUAAAACUAACGGAAGCUAAAACCAGAAUUUGAACUUAACGAUUUAGCUCCGGAUUCCACACCUUGAGAAUGUUUGCUUCUAUAUUAUCUUUCUUUUCUCAUCUUCCCCUUUUCCCUUUCUUCCUUUUCCUCUCCCCUUUCUCUAGUGUCCCUUCCUGUCCUCUUCAUGGCAACCAGAAAGCAGAGAAAAAAGGGAGGAACCAGGAAGGAAGAGAGACCCUGCCAGGUGAAGACCCCGUUGACCUGCCACUUCUGACCACAAGCCACCUCUGAACAGCAAGCCAGCUAUCAUGCCCCAUGGUCCGGUCAUCUUCCAAGCCCACCUUUAAGGGCAUGAGAGUUGGGGUGGACAGCCAGCUGUAAACAGUAACACUCAGCAUCCCCUUAUAUUCAUGCCUCUUAAGCCUGGAGUUCACAAGACCUGGAUACCACCCACCAUGACAUGGAUUUCUGUCUUUGUCUGCUGUCUUCCUAAAUAUCUUGUGUAUUAACACACCUGAAUGACCUCACCUUAGUGGCUUUCCUUAUGAAACUUAUUUUAACUAGAACUGGAAUGUCCACUCCAUUAUUUUCAUCAUCUAAAUCCAAUUCUUUGAAGACAAUAAGGCAAAACAUUUAUAAUAGUUGAGUAUAAAGGUUUAUGUAUAUAGGUCUCACUGUGACUUAUGAUUUGCUGUAUUGUUCAAAUAUUAACAAUAAAAGUUAGGUAAUAAAUGUUUACAAGUAAUCCAAUUUGUCCUUCAGGGAUAAAAUGACUUCCUAUUCUGGAAAUCUUCUUUCUUCUUCCUUUUUUUUUCCACAUGGUACCUGGGAUGUAGUUCAUGUCUGAUCUCCUAAAACUGGGAGUACAGUGUAACUACUUGGUGUGUGAACUAAUUUCCAUUUAUCAGAUUGAAGCUCCAAUUGGUUCAGGGCCUGCCUCACUCACCUAUGUGUACAAUACAAACAUUGCCAACGGGCUCUCAGGUGAGAUACCCAAAUAACUUGCACAUGUAACUGAAUUAUGGUGACAUAUGCGGUCAGCACGGGUUGUCUGUGUGUGGAAAUGGCCCUGUAAAGAAUGAGUGAAGAUAAAUAAUGACAUUAAUAAGCAGCAGCAAAGCAAAAAUAAAACACCCUAAGGAAAUAAUUUUCAACAGUAAAAGGAGUGAGAUAUUUAGAAUGUGAAAUGAAAUUUCCGAGGAAUUAUUGAUAAUUUUCUAGGGAUUUGAAAAAAUGUUGGCAGUUAGCAUCGUUUCUUAGCACUGUGGUUUUAAUACACGGGGUGCAUCUCUUGAGACUUGAAUGUGAGUUUUCAGCUAAGUGAAACCAACCCUUUCAUUUAUCACCAAAGUCCAUGGCCAAGCAGAACACGUGUUUAAAAAUGUGCAUCUCCUAGGAAUCUGGGGCACAGGAGGAGAGUUUAAGUCAUAACAUUUGAUAAAUGGAGAAAAAUAAAAAGUGUUUAUUGAAGAUGUGGAAAUUUCCUGAGAAACGGGGAAUUUCGAUGAAUUACCAAGUGUAUAAGAAUAUGUUUAGUCCACAAAUAAAAGUUAUGCUGGAGUGAAGGGUGACAAAAUAUUGAACUAGAACUUCCAUAGCAGUUUUUUGGUAUUAUUGGAAGGUAUUUCUAGAUUUUCUAAAAGUCUAAUUUCAAAAUAAGUAUAAACUUAAACUUAGGCAUCCUGAGUGAAUAAUUUAGAUUCCUUCAAUGAGCCCCACGUUAGCCAUGCCAAGCCAGUGUGUCCUGAUGAAUUCACUGAAGGAUUUAGGGACCAGAGUUAUUAAGAGUAGCUAAAGCGGACACUACUGCAUUAGCUGGGACUGCAUUAGUCACUAGCCCUCUUACGACACGUGCCCUGGUAGUUGGCCAGGCAAAGCUAAGCAGGAGAUUAUUCACAGAAUUCAUUUUGGUGCAGCACACUGCGUAAUACUGACAUAGUAGCCUCGGUCUCCAGUGAUAGCCUCCAUGUCCACAGUGGCUCAGAGUGAAAGUCUUACUCAUUCACUGUUGCUCAGAAACAUAUCAGGAAAAGCUCUCCAAGGCCACCAGGAAGGAGGCCACUGCUGAAAGAGCAGGAAGUGGGAGGAAGCCUGCCUAGAUUCCCAGAGAGGGACAGGAAGUGUCAGGGUGACUUUUCCCCUUGACUUGCAUUCCAGUAAUCACUUAUUUUGCUGAUUGUUCAUUGCAGAGACAGCAAGGUCUUCGCCUCUAGGCAGGUAGGUAUAUCUAUAACAUCUGUGAGGAAAAUCAAUACUCAGGAGGUUUUCUCAAACAUUUCUCUCUGAUUUGUGGACUUUUACUGACAAAUCACUGCUUUCUGCCUAGUGUUGCUUUUCUGAAGCCCACGCGGGUGCACCCGGGAAAAAGCCAACCUGCUUUCUGUGCAGCGUCCUGUGGCGGAAUCUCUCCCUCCCUCUGUGGUCACCGACCACCCUGGGGCCCAGGCUUGAGCUCCAGCACCGAGACCAGAAUUGCCCCGGUGUCCCAUCUCCUCUCCCUCAGUUUGACGGAAGCUUGGGGAAGCCUGUCCUAGUCCUCUACAGGGACUGAAGGCAUUGCUAACUGUCCUCAAAACAGGAAAGAAAAAUUAAGGAAGGGCUGCAGACUGGACUGAAACCUGACCACUGGGAGAAACGUUCUGAGAGAGAAAAGCUGUUUUUCUCCAAGAGGGACUGGAUGGUUUUACUUUCAAUUAGAGUAACUUUCUCCUCUUAGCUUGGAGAAGGAAGGUGGAGCAGGAGGGAGGAUGGAGCCAGAGAAACAGAAAACAAGAAACCUAAAACACAAAUGGGGUUUCGAAAGAGGAGCAGCAUGUGAGACACACAAAGGGGAUGUGGAGCGCGUUGCAGGCGGGCUGCUACCCUGAGCAGGAGCCAGGUAGCCAGCAGGGGUGUGGGGUGCACGCCUCCCUCACACCACAAGUGUGUUGAGUGCAUGGGGAGGCCACAUCGGGUGGGGAAGGAGAGGAACAGCGCAGCAGGCUACAAACAUGUUUUGGGGCUGGGGAAGUAUGAAUUCCAAGUCUGGCUCCUCUACUUACUUUGUAAAUUGAGCAAAUGCUAUUGGAAUUUCUAAACUUUAAGUUCUUCCACAUUUACAUGUUAAAAAUUAACUGCCCCAUGGAACAAUUCUAAGUAAUGUAUUCAUGUAUUAUAUUAGACAUCAUAGUAAGUAAUAUUGAAAGCAAAGGGAGAUUAUUACAUCCCCAGAACAUUCAAAGUGCUUCAUCCACCAGCUCUAUUUCAUACAACAAUUACACAAGGACCUAAGCUGAAGAGCAGAAUAUGCAGUCCUUACCACCGCACCUAAUGUGGAAGAGGAACUCCGUAAACAAGAAUAGUUACUGCUUAAAAUAUCACCUGUUUAUUUUACACUGUGGGGAAAUAAAGUUUCUUAAAUAGUGAUCUGAUUGCUCGAACUGUCUGGAAAAAGAAUGUAGCUGCCAAAAAAAUAUUUGUAUAGAAAGAAAAUAGCUUAAUUAACAAAUCAAAUAAUUAUAUUCUCACUAAAACUCAUAUUGAACUGCAGUAUGUUUUGACACAAAUUUGUCUAGAUUUUUUCAGAGAGAGAGAGAGACAGACACAGAGAGAAAGAGAUUCAAUUGCUCUUCAAAAUAGUAAGAUCACUGAACAACAGAAUUUUCUUCUCUUAGAUUUAUAAUUUGCCCUCUAAGUUAAGGAAGGACAAUAUGUUUUUAAUCUUGAUCUCAAUAAAAUGUAGAACCAUUAAGUGUGAACAGUGUAUUGAGCAAAUAGUUGCCUAGAUAUAUAAAAUUAGGAUGUAAAAAUAAAUCUUUUAUAGUUAAAAAAAUUUUUUGUUGUUGUUUUUUUGUUUUGGUACUGGGGAUCAAACUUGGGACCUUGUGCUUGUGAGGCAAGGCAGCAGCAACACUGAGCUAAGUUUCCAGCCCUUUAUAAAAAUUUUUAACAACAAAAACUAGGCAAAAUUCUUGAAAUUGUUCACAGAGCUUCUUUUUGUUGUUGUUUUUAUAUGAUGCACUAAAAAACUUAAACAAAGCCGUGGAUUUUUAAUUGUAUUUACUUCACUUUCUAAUUUUAUGUCUUCAUAGUUGUUCAGAAAUUUUCUGAAGUACAAAAUUAUCCCAAAUUCUGAUACCUUCAUAAGUCUUAUGCCUGCUUGUCAUGUGUCUUCCUUUCAUAUUCAGUUUCAGGUAUUUUACUCCAAGGUUUACUUGUGAGUUCUAGAAAUCAUCCAGAAAUCUUAGGGUUGUGUUUGGCCCUUCAGCUCCAUUUGGAAGCACUGUCCUCUGCCUGGUGAAAAUAUUUGUCAUGCUG
This is a long non-coding RNA of Heterocephalus glaber (naked mole-rat), 4843 nucleotides long. The record is from Ensembl. NCBI's taxonomy places the organism in Eukaryota, Metazoa, Chordata, Mammalia, Rodentia, Bathyergidae.